This 497-nucleotide ribosomal RNA is filed under the name uncultured bacterium. Its description in RNAcentral is "partial 16S ribosomal RNA". It matches the Rfam family "Bacterial small subunit ribosomal RNA", at positions 28 to 507 of the family's 1533-position model. The record is from RNAcentral.
GAUGAACGCUGGCGGCGUGCCUAAUAGAUGCCAGUCGAGCGAACGGACGAGAAGCUUGCUUCUCUGAUGUUAGCGGCGGACGGGUGAGUAACACGUGGAUAACCUACCUAUAAGACUGGGAUAACUUCGGGAAACCGGAGCUAAUACCGGAUAAUAUUUUGAACCGCAUGGUUCAAAAGUGAAAGACGGUCUUGCUGUCACUUAUAGAUGGAUCCGCGCUGCAUUAGCUAGUUGGUAAGGUAACGGCUUACCAAGGCAACGAUGCAUAGCCGACCUGAGAGGGUGAUCGGCCACACUGGAACUGAGACACGGUCCAGACUCCUACGGGAGGCAGCAGUAGGGAAUCUUCCGCAAUGGGCGAAAGCCUGACGGAGCAACGCCGCGUGAGUGAUGAAGGUCUUCGGAUCGUAAAACUCUGUUAUUAGGGAAGAACAUAUGUGUAAGUAACUGUGCACAUCUUGACGGUACCUAAUCAGAAAGCCACGGCUAACUACGUG